RNAcentral lists this ribosomal RNA (360 nucleotides) under Heligmosomoides polygyrus. RNAcentral describes it as "eukaryotic LSU rRNA". It matches the Rfam family "Eukaryotic large subunit ribosomal RNA", at positions 1 to 349 of the family's 3401-position model. Lineage: Eukaryota; Metazoa; Nematoda; Chromadorea; Rhabditida; Heligmosomidae. The record is from RNAcentral.
NGCAACCUGAGCUCAGGCGUGACUACCCGCCGAACUUAAGCAUAUCAUUUAGCGGAGGAAAAGAAACUAACAAGGAUUCCCUUAGUAACGGCGAGUGAACGGGGAGAAGCCCAGCGCUGAAUCUUUCGGUGUUACACCGUUAAGAAAUGUAGCGUAUAGGUGUCGAUUUUCAGUUUGUGCUGCAUGUCCAAAGUCCCUUUGAUAGGGGCCACAUUCCUGAGAGGGUGCGAGACCUGUGCGGACAGUGGAGCAAGCUGUACGAUCAUACCUUGGAGUCGGGUUGCUUGAAAGUGCAGCCUAAAGUGGGUGAUAAACUUCAUCUAAGGCUAAAUAUAGACGCGAAUUCGAUAGCAAACAAGU